Molecule: ribosomal RNA, 482 nt
Filed under: uncultured bacterium
Lineage: Bacteria
Description: partial 16S ribosomal RNA
Rfam family: Bacterial small subunit ribosomal RNA
Source: RNAcentral
AUUGAACGCUGGCGGCAUGCCUUACACAUGCAAGUCGAACGGUAACAGGUCUUCGGAUGCUGACGAGUGGCGAACGGGUGAGUAAUACAUCGGAACGUGCCCAGACGUGGGGGAUAACGAGGCGAAAGCUUUGCUAAUACCGCAUACGAUCUAAGGAUGAAGGCAGGGGACCGCAAGGCCUUGCGCGUUUGGAGCGGCCGAUGGCAGAUUAGGUAGUUGGUGGGAUAAAAGCUUACCAAGCCGACGAUCUGUAGCUGGUCUGAGAGGACGACCAGCCACACUGGGACUGAGACACGGCCCAGACUCCUACGGGAGGCAGCAGUGGGGAAUUUUGGACAAUGGGCGAAAGCCUGAUCCAGCAAUGCCGCGUGCAGGAUGAAGGCCUUCGGGUUGUAAACUGCUUUUGUACGGAACGAAAAGGCUCUGGCUAAUACCUGGGGCACAUGACGGUACCGUAAGAAUAAGCACCGGCUAACUACGUG